GAUGAACGCUGGCGGCGUGCCUAAUACAUGCAAGUCGAGCGAACAGACGAGGAGCUUGCUCCUCUGACGUUAGCGGCGGACGGGUGAGUAACACGUGGAUAACCUACCUAUAAGACUGGGAUAACUUCGGGAAACCGGAGCUAAUACCGGAUAAUAUAUUGAACCGCAUGGUUCAAUAGUGAAAGACGGUUUUGCUGUCACUUAUAGAUGGAUCCGCGCCGCAUUAGCUAGUUGGUAAGGUAACGGCUUACCAAGGCAACGAUGCGUAGCCGACCUGAGAGGGUGAUCGGCCACACUGGAACUGAGACACGGUCCAGACUCCUACGGGAGGCAGCAGUAGGGAAUCUUCCGCGAUGGGCGAAAGCCUGACGGAGCAACGCCGCGUGAGUGAUGAAGGUCGUCGGAUCGUAAAACUCUGUUAUUAGGGAAGAACAAAUGUGUAAGUAACUAUGCACGUCUUGACGGUACCUAAUCAGAAAGCCACGGCUAACUACG
This 495-nucleotide ribosomal RNA is filed under the name uncultured bacterium. RNAcentral's name for it is "partial 16S ribosomal RNA". It matches the Rfam family "Bacterial small subunit ribosomal RNA", at positions 28 to 505 of the family's 1533-position model. The record is from RNAcentral.